GACGAACGCUGGCGGCGUGCCUAAUACAUGCAAGUAGAACGCUGAAGGAGGAGCUUGCUUCUCUGGAUGAGUUGCGAACGGGUGAGUAACGCGUAGGUAACCUGCCUGGUAGCGGGGGAUAACUAUUGGAAACGAUAGCUAAUACCGCAUAAGAGUAGAUGUUGCAUGACAUUUGCUUAAAAGGUGCAAUUGCAUCACUACCAUAUGGACCUGCGUUGUAUUAGCUAGUUGGUGGGGUAACGGCUCACCAAGGCGACGAUACAUAGCCGACCGGGAAGGGUGAUCGGCCAAGCUGGUACUGAGACACGGCCCAGACUCCUACGGGAGGCAGCAGUAGGGAAUCUUCGGCAAUGGACGGAAGUCUGACCGAGCAACGCCGCGUGAGUGAAGAAGGUUUUCGGAUCGUAAAGCUCUGUUGUAAGAGAAGAACGAGUGUGAGAGUGGAAAGUUCACACUGUGACGGUAUCUUACCAGAAAGGGACGGCUAACUACGUG
RNAcentral lists this ribosomal RNA (495 nucleotides) under uncultured bacterium. Its description in RNAcentral is "partial 16S ribosomal RNA". It matches the Rfam family "Bacterial small subunit ribosomal RNA", at positions 28 to 507 of the family's 1533-position model. The record is from RNAcentral.